This 242-nucleotide unclassified non-coding RNA is filed under the name rhizosphere metagenome. Its description in RNAcentral is "partial ribosomal RNA internal transcribed spacer region". The record is from RNAcentral.
GUAGGUGAACCUGCGGAAGGAUCAUUACCAAUAUGAAAGCGGGAUGGGGAGCCACGGCAUCAGGCGCUCCGGCGUGUAAUGCCGCCCCAUCUGGCUGACUAUUCACCCAUGUCUUUUGCGUACCAUUUGUUUCCUUGGCGGGCUUGCCUGCCGAUAGGACAGUAUUAAACCAUUUGCAAUUGCAGUCAGCGUCAGAAAAAACUUAAUAGUUACAACUUUCAACAACGGAUCUCUUGGUUCUG